RNAcentral lists this ribosomal RNA (253 nucleotides) under uncultured prokaryote. Its description in RNAcentral is "partial 16S ribosomal RNA". It matches the Rfam family "Bacterial small subunit ribosomal RNA", at positions 525 to 777 of the family's 1533-position model. The record is from RNAcentral.
ACGUAGGUGGCAAGCGUUGUCCGGAUUUAUUGGGUUUAAAGGGUGCGUAGGCGGCCUAUUAAGUCAGUUCUGAAAUAUCCCGGCUUAACCGGGAGGGUGGGAUUGAUACUGAUGGGCUUGAGUGGACUCGAGGUAGGCGGAAUUGACGGUGUAGCGGUGGAAUGCAUAGAUACCAUAAAGAACACCGAUUGCGAAGGCAGCUUACUAGGCUGUAACUGACGCUGAGGCACGAAAGCGUGGGGAUCAAACAGGA